UACAGAGGUCCCAAGCGUUGUUCGGAUUCACUGGGCGUAAAGGGUGCGUAGGUGGUUGGGCAAGUCUGAUGUGAAAUCUCCGGGCUUAACCCGGAAAUGGCAUUGGAAACUGCUUGGCUAGAGUGUUGGAGGGGGGACUGGAAUUCUCGGUGUAGCAGUGAAAUGCGUAGAUAUCGAGAGGAACACCAGUGGCGAAGGCGAGUCCCUGGACAACGACUGACACUGAGGCACGAAAGCUAGGGGAGCAAACAGG
Molecule: ribosomal RNA, 253 nt
Filed under: uncultured bacterium
Lineage: Bacteria
Description: partial 16S ribosomal RNA
Rfam family: Bacterial small subunit ribosomal RNA
Source: RNAcentral